GAAGAAAUGGAAGCAGUAGCACAGCAUGAUGCUGAAUAGACCUUGGUAUGGAAGAGUGGCUAGCUUAAAAUCAUCUUGUUCCUUUCUAGAUUAAUCCAUCUCUUGCUCUGUCUUCAGUCUUCUCAAUAUUGCCCAGAGCUGGAAAACAAGCAGAUGAAGGAAGUGUCUUUUGAGGAAGUUGGAGUGCACAUGGCUGGAACUGUUCAGAGCACUCUAUGUAAGCCAUAAAAAUUCAAGAGUCAGAAGCAAGCUGUUCUUCCUGAUGAGUUAAGUGGAGCAUUUUAGCACAGCUGAAUUGCUGCAAGCCUUGGUGGAACAAAUCUAUUAGUGGUAUGGCUUGAAACAAUACACAAAAGAGCCCUGUGUGUGGUCUGCUCUACAUGCUUUUCACUUCCUUAUGUUAAACAAUAAAUCUCUGAGUCAGCUAGAACUCGGAGACUAACAUCCAACGAGAGCCGCAUUUUAUCUUUUAUUCAUUGGCAGGAACAUAGCUGUAGGAGGUAUUCAAAUCACACUUUUAUUUAAACAAACACAGCUGGAUCACAGCCUCUUAAUAUAGC
This 560-nucleotide long non-coding RNA is filed under the name Ficedula albicollis (Collared flycatcher). Its description in RNAcentral is "lncRNA (ENSFALG00000026100.1)". Lineage: Eukaryota; Metazoa; Chordata; Aves; Passeriformes; Muscicapidae. The record is from RNAcentral.